This 199-nucleotide ribosomal RNA is filed under the name Coprinopsis sp. S.L 16. RNAcentral's name for it is "5.8S ribosomal RNA". The stretch from base 43 to 196 matches the Rfam family "5.8S ribosomal RNA". Rfam says of the family: 5.8S ribosomal RNA (5.8S rRNA) is a component of the large subunit of the eukaryotic ribosome. It is transcribed by RNA polymerase I as part of the 45S precursor that also contains 18S and 28S rRNA. Functionally, it is thought that 5.8S rRNA may be involved in ribosome translocation. Lineage: Eukaryota; Fungi; Basidiomycota; Agaricomycetes; Agaricales; Psathyrellaceae. The record is from RNAcentral.
AUAGAAUGUUAUCAUAAGGCCUUAGCGCCUAUAAACUUAUACAACUUUCAACAACGGAUCUCUUGGCUCUCGCAUCGAUGAAGAACGCAGCGAAAUGCGAUAAGUAAUGUGAAUUGCAGAAUUCAGUGAAUCAUCGAAUCUUUGAACGCACCUUGCGCUCCUUGGUAUUCCGAGGAGCAUGCCUGUUUGAGUGUCAUUA